UUGGACGGCCAAAGCGGCGUGGUUAUACCCGAUCCCAUUUCGAACUCGGAAGUCAAGCGCGCCCACGUUUUAAGUUGUACUGCACUUUGUGCGGGAACCUUAGAAAGCUGUCCGCC
Molecule: ribosomal RNA, 116 nt
Filed under: archaeon
Lineage: Archaea
Also listed under: 1 other name
Source: RNAcentral